This 323-nucleotide long non-coding RNA is filed under the name Vigna radiata. Its description in RNAcentral is "long non-coding RNA (VRAD_LNC013570)". Lineage: Eukaryota; Viridiplantae; Streptophyta; Magnoliopsida; Fabales; Fabaceae. The record is from RNAcentral.
CAGAAGCCAAAACCCAAUCANCUUUGGAAUAAUCGAUUAAAGCAAGUUUUAAUCGAUUAAUUAAUCGAUUAAUCCUGACAAUAAUCGAUUAAUACUAGCCGUUGGAGGUUUCUAAUUUGAAAAACUAGCCGUUGUACUUAUUUUAAUCGAUUAACACUAAUAUUAAUCGAUUAAAUGUGUUAAAUGGCCAGUUUCGUAGAAUGGAAGAGUUUUUGCUUGAGUCUAUUUAUAGGCUCUCUUUAUCCAUCAACAACAACUCUUCCCUUGCGCUAAAACACUCAGAACUCUUUGAGAAGUGUGUGCUCUUGCUCAGCUAAGGAAAC